GACAGAGGGUGCAAACGUUGUUCGGAAUUACUGGGCGUAAAGCGCGUGUAGGCUGUUCUGCAAGUCGGGUGUGAAAGCCCCGGGCUCAACCUGGGAAGUGCACUCGAAACUGCAAGACUUGAGUCCUGGAGAGGAAGGCGGAAUUCUCGGUGUAGAGGUGAAAUUCGUAGAUAUCGAGAGGAACACCGGUGGCGAAGGCGGCCUUCUGGACAGUGACUGACGCUGAGACGCGAAAGCGUGGGGAGCGAACAGG
Molecule: ribosomal RNA, 253 nt
Filed under: uncultured bacterium
Lineage: Bacteria
Description: partial 16S ribosomal RNA
Rfam family: Bacterial small subunit ribosomal RNA
Source: RNAcentral